This 640-nucleotide ribosomal RNA is filed under the name uncultured Alphaproteobacteria bacterium. Its description in RNAcentral is "bacterial SSU rRNA". It matches the Rfam family "Bacterial small subunit ribosomal RNA", at positions 127 to 800 of the family's 1533-position model. Lineage: Bacteria; Pseudomonadati; Pseudomonadota; Alphaproteobacteria. The record is from RNAcentral.
UUCCCUUUGGUUCGGAAUAACAAGAGGAAACUUUUGCUAAUACCGGAUAAGUCUUUACGGAGAAAGCUUUAUGCGCCAUUGGAUGAGCCUGCACUUGAUUAGUUAGUUGGUGGGGUAAAGGCCUACCAAGACAAUGAUCAAUAGCUGAUUUGAGAGGAUGAUCAGCCACAUUGGGACUGAGACACGGCCCAAACUCCUACGGGAGGCAGCAGUAGGGAAUCUUGCACAAUGGGGGAAACCCUGAUGCAGCGAUGCCGCGUGAGUGAAGAAGGCCUUUGGGUUGUAAAGCUCUUUCGUCGGGGAAGAAAAUGACUGUACCCGAAUAAGAAGGUCCGGCUAACUUCGUGCCAGCAGCCGCGGUAAUACGAAGGGACCUAGCGUAGUUCGGAAUUACUGGGCUUAAAGAGUUCGUAGGUGGUUAAAAAAGUUGGUGGUGAAAUCCCAGAGCUUAACUCUGGAACUGCCAUCAAAACUUUUUAGCUAGAGUAUGAUAGAGGAAAGCAGAAUUUCUAGUGUAGAGGUGAAAUUCGUAGAUAUUAGAAAGAAUACCGAUUGCGAAGGCAGCUUUCUGGAUCAUUACUGACACUGAGGAACGAAAGCAUGGGUAGCGAAGAGGAUUAGAUACCCUCGUAGUCCAUGC